UACGGGGGAGCAAGCGUUGUUCGGAUUUACUGGGCGUAAAGGGCGCGUAGGCGGCCACCGCAAGUCGACUGUGAAAUCUCCGGGCUUAACCCGGAAAGGUCAGCCGAUACUGCGGGGCUAGAGUGCAGAAGGGGCAACUGGAAUUCUCGGUGUAGCGGUGAAAUGCGUAGAUAUCGAGAGGAACACCUGCGGCGAAGGCGGGUUGCUGGGCUGACACUGACGCUGAUGCGCGAAAGCUAGGGGAGCGAACGGG
Molecule: ribosomal RNA, 253 nt
Filed under: uncultured bacterium
Lineage: Bacteria
Description: partial 16S ribosomal RNA
Rfam family: Bacterial small subunit ribosomal RNA
Source: RNAcentral